RNAcentral lists this non-coding RNA (21 nucleotides) under Caenorhabditis elegans. Lineage: Eukaryota; Metazoa; Nematoda; Chromadorea; Rhabditida; Rhabditidae. The record is from RNAcentral.
UCCGCAAUUAGAGUUUUAUAU